Rhinopithecus roxellana (golden snub-nosed monkey) is the source of this 654-nucleotide long non-coding RNA. RefSeq lists it as uncharacterized. The transcript has 3 exons. The record is from RefSeq and is a predicted model, not a curated record. Lineage: Eukaryota; Metazoa; Chordata; Mammalia; Primates; Cercopithecidae.
CUGUGGGUGAUUAGGCCAUGCUUCUACUCAGAUGGAGUGGGCAAGUUCCAGGACCGGUCUUACCGUGUUCCAGAUGUCCGGACUCCAAGCGCCGAUGCCUUCUCGGUGUUCAGCCACUGAGUGGAUCCUCCACGGGGCCCUGUCGUGCACUGCUCUGAGUUGAGAAAACCCUUCUUUCAAGUUAUUUGCAGCUUUUAACAGUUGGAUAAAGUAAACUCUUGGCACCACUGGAGAAACUGGUUAUUGUACCAAGGCUCUGACUGGAAUGGCAUACUUUCAGAUGGAAACAGACUAAGGAAUCAAAGUUGACUUAUACAGCCAAUAAAACCCCCCUUGGGAAAACUGGCUUCACACUUUGUCUACACAGUCUCUGUGCAGGGUUUCCUGAUCUGUAAGUAACGAAUGUCAUUUUUCUGAUAGGCCCAGGGGCUCAAAGUUAUUUUGGCCCCUCAAGAGGGUAGGAAUUCACUCAAAUCCAUAGAAGUAUUUCUGGGCACAGAUAAAUCUGUGGCUGGGCUUUAGGCUUAAAAAAAAUCUAAUCUAAAAUUCCUUAUGGAUCAAAGUUCAGCAAAGUAAUUUUAAAAACAGCCUAUAUGGCAAAUAAUCGUUCUUGCUGCAUUUUAUGCAAAUACUCAGACCAAGUAUAACAAGACA